This 327-nucleotide long non-coding RNA is filed under the name Homo sapiens (human). RNAcentral's name for it is "non-protein coding lnc-PANK3-20:1". The record is from RNAcentral. Lineage: Eukaryota; Metazoa; Chordata; Mammalia; Primates; Hominidae.
UGCUCCACGGUAUGGUUGGUUUAAAGGACUCUGCCUAAACAUACCUUUUAUGUCAACACAUACUGGAUUAUUAUUUUACUAUACUAAUAAAUAUUUUCUAAAAAUCUCAGUUUUACUUUCUAGAGUAGUAACAUUGAUACCUUUUUCCCUCACUUACAACUCCUGUCAUGUGUUUUGUUUUCUUUUUAAAUGUGACACAUUUUCAGCAACAAAACUGUCUAUCCAUGUAAAUUUUUCCAAAUAUUUCAAAAUGCAUUCCCAAAGUAAGAGGUUUUUAAAAUUAUGUAUUUCUUUCACUUCCAAUGUAAGAAAUACCACCUUUAUGUC